This 380-nucleotide ribosomal RNA is filed under the name uncultured eukaryote. Its description in RNAcentral is "partial 18S ribosomal RNA". It matches the Rfam family "Eukaryotic small subunit ribosomal RNA", at positions 592 to 976 of the family's 1831-position model. The record is from RNAcentral.
CAAUAGCGUAUAUUAAAGUUGUUGCAGUUAGAACGCUCGUAGUCGGAUUUCGGGGCGGGCCGACCGGUCUGCCGAUGGGUACGCACUGGUCGGCGCGUCCUUCCUUCCGGAGACCGUGCCUACUCUUAACUGAGCGGGGGCGGGAGACGGAUCGUUUACUUUGAAAAAAUCAGAGUGUUUCAAGCAGGCAGCUCGCUCUUGCAUGGAUUAGCAUGGGAUAAUGAAAUAGGACUUUGGUGCUAUUUUGUUGGUUUCGAACACCGAAGUAAUGAUUAACAGGGACAGUCAGGGGCACUCGUAUUCCGCCGAGAGAGGUGAAAUUCUCAGACCAGCGGAAGACGAACUACUGCGAAAGCAUUUGCCAGGGAUGUUUUCAUUAA